AUUUUAGUGUAUAUUAUUUAAAAAACUUUUAUGUAAAAACAUUUAUAUAAAGAAAUACAUUGUUUAGCAGUUUAAGAAGU
RNAcentral lists this microRNA precursor (80 nucleotides) under Oryza sativa Japonica Group (Japanese rice). RNAcentral's name for it is "mir-166 microRNA precursor". Lineage: Eukaryota; Viridiplantae; Streptophyta; Magnoliopsida; Poales; Poaceae. The record is from RNAcentral.